Molecule: ribosomal RNA, 253 nt
Filed under: uncultured bacterium
Lineage: Bacteria
Description: partial 16S ribosomal RNA
Rfam family: Bacterial small subunit ribosomal RNA
Source: RNAcentral
UACGGAGGGGGCGAGCGUUAUUCGGAAUUAUUGGGCGUAAAGGGCGCGUAGGCGGGCAGGUAAGUCCGUGGUGAAAUCUCUGAGCUUAACUCAGAAACUGCCAUGGAUACUAUUUGUCUUGAAUAUUGUGGAGGUAAGCGGAAUAUGUCAUGUAGCGGUGAAAUGCUUAGAUAUGACAUAGAACACCAAUUGCGAAGGCAGCUUACUACACAGUUAUUGACGCUGAGGCACGAAAGCGUGGGGAUCAAACAGG